This 493-nucleotide ribosomal RNA is filed under the name uncultured bacterium. RNAcentral describes it as "partial 16S ribosomal RNA". It matches the Rfam family "Bacterial small subunit ribosomal RNA", at positions 29 to 508 of the family's 1533-position model. The record is from RNAcentral.
AUUGAACGCUGGCGGCAUGCUUUACACAUGCAAGUCGAACGGUAACAGGCCUUCGGGUGCUGACGAGUGGCGAACGGGUGAGUAAUGCAUCGGAACGUACCCAGAGGUGGGGGAUAACGCAGCGAAAGCUGUGCUAAUACCGCAUGUGGUCUGAGGAUGAAAGCGGGGGACCGAGCAGCAAUGUUUGGCCUCGCGCCUUUGGAGCGGCCGAUGUCGGAUUAGCUAGUUGGUGGGGUAAAGGCCUACCAAGGCGACGAUCCGUAGCUGGUCUGAGAGGACGACCAGCCACACUGGGACUGAGACACGGCCCAGACUCCUACGGGAGGCAGCAGUGGGGAAUUUUGGACAAUGGGCGCAAGCCUGAUCCAGCAAUGCCGCGUGCGGGAAGAAGGCCUUCGGGUUGUAAACCGCUUUUGGCAGGAACGAAACGGUGUCCGCUAAUACCGGGCGCUAAUGACGGUACCUGCAGAAUAAGCACCGGCUAACUACGUGC